RNAcentral lists this ribosomal RNA (492 nucleotides) under uncultured bacterium. RNAcentral describes it as "partial 16S ribosomal RNA". It matches the Rfam family "Bacterial small subunit ribosomal RNA", at positions 29 to 507 of the family's 1533-position model. The record is from RNAcentral.
AGUGAACGCUGGCGGUAGGCCUAACACAUGCAAGUCGAACGGCAGCACAGUAAGAGCUUGCUCUUACGGGUGGCGAGUGGCGGACGGGUGAGGCAUACAUCGGAAUCUACUUUUUCGCGGGGGAUAACGUAGGGAAACUUACGCUAAUACCGCAUACGACCUACGGGUGAAAGCAGGGGAUCUUCGGACCUUGCGCGAUUGAAUGAGCCGAUGUCGGAUUAGCUAGUUGGCGGGGUAAAGGCCUACCAAGGCGACGAUCCGUAGCUGGUCUGAGAGGAUGAUCAGCCACACUGGAACUGAGACACGGUCCAGACUCCUACGGGAGGCAGCAGUGGGGAAUAUUGGACAAUGGGCGCAAGCCUGAUCCAGCCAUACCGCGUGGGUGAAGAAGGCCUUCGGGUUGUAAAGCCCUUUUGUUGGGAAAGAAAAGCAGCAGGUUAAUACCCCGCUGUUCUGACGGUACCCAAAGAAUAAGCACCGGCUAACUUCGUG